UUAAAAUGUAAAAAUUAUGCUAGAGUAGUAAUAGAUAUGAACUUGAAACUUAAAAAAUUUGGCGGUAUUUUAGUCUAUUCAGAGGAACCUGUUCUGUAAUCGAUAAUCCACGAUGGACCUCACUUAAGCUUGUAAUCAGUUUAUAUACCGUCGUUAUCAGGGAAUUUUAAAAGAAAUUUAAUUCCCAAUAAUUUUAAUAGAAUUUAUAUCAGAUCAAGGUGUAGCUUAUGUUUAAGAAGAAAUGGGUUACAAUAAAUUUAUUUAAAUGGAUUUCUUUUUGAAAUGAAAGAAUGAAAGUGGAUUUGAUAGUAAAAUUUUAAAGAUUAAAAAUUUGAUUAUAGCUCUAAAAUAUGC
RNAcentral lists this ribosomal RNA (354 nucleotides) under Myopa vesiculosa. RNAcentral describes it as "partial 12S ribosomal RNA". The record is from RNAcentral. Lineage: Eukaryota; Metazoa; Arthropoda; Insecta; Diptera; Conopidae.